This 429-nucleotide ribosomal RNA is filed under the name Gemmatimonadota bacterium. RNAcentral's name for it is "Gemmatimonadetes bacterium partial 16S ribosomal RNA". It matches the Rfam family "Bacterial small subunit ribosomal RNA", at positions 355 to 776 of the family's 1533-position model. Lineage: Bacteria; Pseudomonadati; Gemmatimonadota. The record is from RNAcentral.
UAGGGAAUCUUCGGCAAUGGACGAAAGUCUGACCGAGCAACGCCGCGUGAGUGAAGAAGGUUUUCGGAUCGUAAAACUCUGUUGUUAGAGAAGAACAAGGACGUUAGUAACUGAACGUCCCCUGACGGUAUCUAACCAGAAAGCCACGGCUAACUACGUGCCAGCAGCCGCGGUAAUACGUAGGUGGCAAGCGUUGUCCGGAUUUAUUGGGCGUAAAGCGAGCGCAGGCGGUUUCUUAAGUCUGAUGUGAAAGCCCCCGGCUCAACCGGGGAGGGUCAUUGGAAACUGGGAGACUUGAGUGCAGAAGAGGAGGGUGGAAUUCCAUGUGUAGCGGUGAGAUGCGUAGAUAUAUGGAGGAACACCAGUGGCGAAGGCGGCUCUCUGGUCUGUAACUGACGCUGGGGCUCGAAAGCGUGGGGAGCAAACAGG